This 882-nucleotide transfer RNA is filed under the name Mesorhizobium sp. ORS 3356. RNAcentral's name for it is "partial contains 16S-23S ribosomal RNA intergenic spacer, tRNA-Ile, and tRNA-Ala". The stretch from base 206 to 279 matches the Rfam family "tRNA". Lineage: Bacteria; Pseudomonadati; Pseudomonadota; Alphaproteobacteria; Hyphomicrobiales; Phyllobacteriaceae. The record is from RNAcentral.
UGAACCUAUGGAAACGCUCGUUCAUCGAGCCUCUACCUUUCGGUUCUCUUGGAACAAGACGGAAGAGAGUCACUCUUACCGUCGUGCAUACCUGAAGCGGGUCUGCCGCCUUCGUUUCUCUUUCUUCAGCGAAUGACUAACCUCCCUUUGGCUCUGCCUGUAAGGCGUGCCUUGCCGGUGCAAAUUGCCAGCAGGGUUCGGUUUAGGGCUUGUAGCUCAGUUGGUUAGAGCGCGCGCUUGAUAAGCGUGAGGUCGGAGGUUCAAGUCCUCCCAGGCCCACCACUUCCUCCGCCCGCAUGAUCCCAAAAAGUUGCAGACUUUUUGGAUAAGAUUAUGCGUCUGGGGCAUGAAGGUUAUCAGGGGCCGUAGCUCAGCUGGGAGAGCGCCUGCUUUGCAAGCAGGAUGUCGUCGGUUCGAUCCCGUCCGGCUCCACCAACCAUCUUCUGCGAAGAUGGGGCGUGUCGAGCGGAGACGGUGAGAAAAAAGUCAUUCGAAAAAGAGUUUGCGUCGAGCCUCGUGCUCUGCGCCUGUUCUGUUUGACAUCGUAAAGAGAAGAUUUGUUCGAACUUCAUGAGCCGCAAGGACCAUGAUUUGUCGCAAGGGACGCUCAAUCCCUUGCCUAUGAUGGGUUUGCCUAACCGCGCCCUCGAACGGAUCUCGAGAAGCUGGUCUUUUUGUGCCAAUUCCAACCAGUAAUACCCCGCACAGGGUGUUGCUGGAGCGACGAUCUCUUCGAGAUCGCGCUUAUGCGACGAUCCUUCGGAUCGCGCUUAGCCAAUCCCGCAAGGGAGAGGCUGAAGCGACGAUCCCUGCGGGAUCGCGCGAUGAUGGGUAUUGGCAAUGAGAACGAUCAAGUGUCUUAAGGGCAAUUGGUGGAUGCCU